RNAcentral lists this ribosomal RNA (416 nucleotides) under uncultured Russulaceae. RNAcentral's name for it is "eukaryotic LSU rRNA". The stretch from base 1 to 105 matches the Rfam family "5.8S ribosomal RNA", at positions 50 to 154 of the family's 154-position model. The record is from RNAcentral. Lineage: Eukaryota; Fungi; Basidiomycota; Agaricomycetes; Russulales; Russulaceae.
GAAAUGCGAUACGUAAUGUGAAUUGCAGAAUUCAGUGAAUCAUCGAAUCUUUGAACGCACCUUGCGCCCCUUGGCAUUCCGAGGGGCACACCCGUUUGAGUGUCGUGAAAUUCUCAAAACCUUUUCUUUUGAAAAGGAUUUUGGACUUGGAGGCCUUUUGCUGGUUUCGCAUUGAAGCGAGCUCCUCCUAAAUGGAUUAGUGGGGUCUGCUUUGCCGAUCCUUGACGUGAUAAGAUGUUUCUACGUCUUGGGUUUGGCACCGCACCCGCUCCUAACCGUCUCAUCGACAAUGAUGGCGUUCCGGUCACCACCGUUUCAUCGGUGGGAGGCUUGACCCACCAAAAAAACCUUGACCUCAAAUCGGGUGAGACUACCCGCUGAACUUAAGCAUAUCAAUAAGCGGAGGAAAAGAAACU